CAUGGUAAAUGACCUGUCCUGUCCACCCACA
This 31-nucleotide non-coding RNA is filed under the name Homo sapiens (human). The record is from RNAcentral. Lineage: Eukaryota; Metazoa; Chordata; Mammalia; Primates; Hominidae.